RNAcentral lists this ribosomal RNA (436 nucleotides) under uncultured bacterium. Its description in RNAcentral is "bacterial SSU rRNA". It matches the Rfam family "Bacterial small subunit ribosomal RNA", at positions 202 to 631 of the family's 1533-position model. The record is from RNAcentral.
UCGCAAGACCUUGCGCUAAAGGAGCGGCCGAUGUCUGAUUAGCUAGUUGGUGGGGUAAAAGCCUACCAAGGCGACGAUCAGUAGUUGGUCUGAGAGGACGACCAACCACACUGGGACUGAGACACGGCCCAGACUCCUACGGGAGGCAGCAGUGGGGAAUUUUGGACAAUGGGCGAAAGCCUGAUCCAGCCAUGCCGCGUGAGUGAAGAAGGCCUUCGGGUUGUAAAGCUCUUUCAGUCGGAAAGAAACGAUUGUGAUUAAUACUCACAAUUAAUGACGGUACCGACAGAAGAAGCACCGGCUAACUACGUGCCAGCAGCCGCGGUAAUACGUAGGGUGCGAGCGUUAAUCGGAAUUACUGGGCGUAAAGGGUGCGCAGGCGGUCUUGUAAGUCAGAUGUGAAAUCCCCGGGCUUAACCUGGGAAUUGCGUUUGAA